This 590-nucleotide unclassified non-coding RNA is filed under the name Hevea brasiliensis (rubber tree). Lineage: Eukaryota; Viridiplantae; Streptophyta; Magnoliopsida; Malpighiales; Euphorbiaceae. The record is from RNAcentral.
UCCCUCUCUUCAAAAUCUAAGUAAAUUUGUAGAACUUCAUAUGCGUUGUAGCAAACUCAUACAACCGUGGAGUGGAGGAGAUAAGGUGCGGUUUUUAAAUUUUAGAUACAUUUUAUAAAGUUAAUUUGUAUAUUCUAAUUUAUUGAUAUUUUUCUAUUUAAUUACAGCCUCUUGGAAGUUUGAAAUUGAUGGACCUUAGCUAGUCUUGUAACCUGAUCAGGAUUCUGAACUUGUCAAAACUUCAUAUGCGUUAUAGCAAACUCAUGCAACCGUGGAGUAGAGGAAACAAGGUAUAGUUGUUAAAUUUUAGAAACAUUUUAUAGAAGUUAAUUUGAUUCUUCUAAUUUAUUGAUAUAUUUCGAUUUAAUUACAGAUACAGCCUCUUGGAAAUUUUAAAUUAAUGAACCUCAGCUACUCUCAAGACCUGAUCAGGAUUCCGGACUUGUCUAGUAUUGCCCCAAAUAUCGAGUUUUUAUAUUUGAAAAGAUGUUAUAGUUUGGUUGAAAUUCCCUCUCUUAAAAAUCUGAGCAAUCUUACUGAACUUGAUCUAUGUGAAUGUUAUAAAGUCAAAGAUUGUCCAGAGAUUCCGU